CCAGCAGUGAUAAAUAUUAAGCAAUGAGUGAAAGCUAACCCAAGCUCGACUUAGCUAUGGUCAUUAGGGCCGGUAAACCUCGUGCCAGCCACCGCGGUUAUACGAGGGGCCCAAAACAACGGACACCGGCGUAAAUUGUGGCUAGAGUACCCACUUACACGYUGAAAAAUGAACAAAAGCCUAAUCGUAAAACCUAGGCCAAAAGAAACACGUAUCUUCAGUUAUAAAGCAACUUGAACCCACGAAGACUAAGAAACAAACUAGGAUUAGAUACCCUACUAUGCUUAGUUGUUAAUAUGACAGCAAAAAACACWACUGUCCGCCAGAGAAUUACACGCGAAAAGCUUAAAACUCAAAGGACUUGGCGGUGCUCCGUAUUCGUCUUAGAGGAGCCUGUCCUAUAAUCGAUAACCCACGCUUUACCUUACCAUCUUUUGUUAAAACAGCCUAUAUACCGCCGUCACAAACUUACCCCAUGAGGGCAUAGUAGUAAGUAAAAUAGUAGCACACUAGCACGUCAGGUCAAGGUGUAGCUAAUAAGAUGGAAGAGAUGGGCUACAUUUUCUAAAACAGAACACAC
This 580-nucleotide ribosomal RNA is filed under the name Liolaemus pleopholis. RNAcentral describes it as "partial small subunit ribosomal RNA". It matches the Rfam family "Bacterial small subunit ribosomal RNA", at positions 348 to 1249 of the family's 1533-position model. Lineage: Eukaryota; Metazoa; Chordata; Lepidosauria; Squamata. The record is from RNAcentral.